This 266-nucleotide ribosomal RNA is filed under the name uncultured bacterium. RNAcentral's name for it is "partial 16S ribosomal RNA". It matches the Rfam family "Bacterial small subunit ribosomal RNA", at positions 524 to 790 of the family's 1533-position model. The record is from RNAcentral.
UACGGAGGGUGCGAGCGUUGUCCGGAAUCAUUGGGCGUAAAGGGCGCGUAGGUGGCGGGACAAGCGUGCGGUGAAAGCUCGGGGCUCAACCCCGCGUCGGCCGUGCGAACUGUUUUGCUUGAGCACUGUAGAGGCAGGCGGAAUUCCGGGUGUAGCGGUGGAAUGCGUAGAGAUCCGGAAGAACACCGGUGGCGAAGGCGGCCUGCUGGGCAGUAGCUGACACUGAGGCGCGACAGCGUGGGGAGCAAACAGGAUAGAAACCCCAG